This 36-nucleotide ribosomal RNA is filed under the name Tiquilia gossypina. RNAcentral's name for it is "partial 26S ribosomal RNA". Lineage: Eukaryota; Viridiplantae; Streptophyta; Magnoliopsida; Boraginales; Ehretiaceae. The record is from RNAcentral.
CUGCGACCCCAGGUCAGGCGGGACUACCCGCUGAGU